GCUGAUGUAGCUCAGUUGGUAGAGCAGCUCAUUCGUAAUGAGCAGGUCACGAGUUCGACUCUCGUCAUUGGCUCCA
RNAcentral lists this transfer RNA (76 nucleotides) under Methylobacter sp. Its description in RNAcentral is "tRNA-Thr". It matches the Rfam family "tRNA". From Rfam's summary of the family: Transfer RNA (tRNA) molecules are approximately 80 nucleotides in length. Their secondary structure includes four short double-helical elements and three loops (D, anti-codon, and T loops). The record is from RNAcentral. Lineage: Bacteria; Pseudomonadati; Pseudomonadota; Gammaproteobacteria; Methylococcales; Methylococcaceae.